This 1187-nucleotide long non-coding RNA is filed under the name Lepisosteus oculatus (spotted gar). Its description in RNAcentral is "lncRNA (ENSLOCG00000023264.1)". The record is from RNAcentral. Lineage: Eukaryota; Metazoa; Chordata; Actinopteri; Semionotiformes; Lepisosteidae.
UUGUCCUGUUUAAACACAGCUUGCCUGUUGCUCCAUUUGUAAAGAGGGCAGAGGCAGCACACACAGGUGUGGCUCCACACAUCUUUUUAGAGAGAUUAAGCAGCCCCAGAGAUUGGGAUGUGUUGUGUCACACAGGAGACAAGCAAGCAGUGUUCUGAGUAGAGCACUGUACACUCUUGAGUAGGCGUAAUCAUCACCACCCUUCAAGGGCUGCCCGGUCCUCUUUGUUCUUUUUCCACCUGAGCUGCUGUUUCACCUGUUGCAGUUCACUCCUUUCACAACUUCCUGGGCUGCAAGUGGGCAGGUUUAAAGCGACCUCCCAAAACCUUGUCCACUCUGGGCUUUGACCGCUGUGACCAGAGACGAGGACGCCAGUUGUAAGAUUCCCAGCCUGUUAACAUUGCACAAGUAUGCUUGGAUCACGAGUGGGGAAACUUGUGCCAGGUCAUGGGCAUGCUACUGGAGAUUGCUGUGCUCAGCAGACUGGAUACAUUUUCCUAGCAGAGAAGGGUACAGACCUUGGGUGUUACUGCUAUUCAGCACUAAGCCAGUGCAAUGUUGUUUUGGAAAAAUGAUUACUUAUCUGUCUCUAGUAUUGACAGUCGGGCAUGUUAUUUGCAGUCAUGAAACUUGUAAUUGAUAAUUGUGGAUGACGGUAGAAGAUUUCCCAUCCAGGGUGUGCCCGUUGCUUGCCAGGAUAGGCUCCGGCUCCUCAGCAACCUGGAUGAAGUGGUGAAGAGGUGUUGGGCUUCCAAUGUCCAGCUCAGAUUUUUAAUCUGCACAUUUUGUUUCCCCCCUCUUACUGAUGUGUUUGGUGUGGUAUCAUGGGUUCUGAACCCCCGCCAGUGACGCGUGGCCUUUGCUAAUUGUAGUUAACUGAGUAUUUGAGCAAUAGGCUAAUUUAACCUUAAUCUGCUGUUUUUGUUAGAUACGUAAAUAAAUGUGAACAAUGGAAUUAAACAUGCUGUACUGGAACAAAAUGACACUGGCACCUAUCCCUGUCCCUUCUCUCUCCAGUGUUGAUACAUAGCUCUUAAGCUUAUCAGCUUUUCACAGUACAGCUUGUUAUUCAUUGCUCAUAUGUUCUCUUCAUUCAGCAGCUGAGAUACAGUAACCAAAGCCUUGUCUGAUCUACUGUGUAAUAUUUGAUAAAUGUAUUCUCUGUCCUAAAUAAAAGGCUUCUAUGA